GAAUAUUGGACAAUGGGGGCAACCCUGAUCCAGCCAUGCCGCGUGUGUGAAGAAGGUCUUCGGAUUGUAAAGCACUUUAAGUUGGGAGGAAGGGCUUUAGGUUAAUACCCUGAAGUUUUGACGUUACCAGCAGAAUAAGCACCGGCUAACCCUGUGCCAGCAUCCGCGGGAAUCCAGCGGGUGCAAGCGUUAAUGGGAAUUACUGGGCGUAAAGCGCGCGUAUGUGGUUCAGUAAGAUGGGUGUGAAAUCCCCGGGCUUAACCUGGGAACUGCUUUCAUAACUGCUGAGCUAGAGUACGGUAGAGGGUAGUGGAAUUUCCUGUGUAGCGGUGAAAUGCGUAGAUAUAGGAAGGAACACCAGUGGCGAAGGCGACUACCUGGACUGAUACUGACACUGAGGUGCGAAAGCGUGGGGAGCAAACA
RNAcentral lists this ribosomal RNA (423 nucleotides) under uncultured bacterium. RNAcentral describes it as "partial 16S ribosomal RNA". It matches the Rfam family "Bacterial small subunit ribosomal RNA", at positions 359 to 774 of the family's 1533-position model. The record is from RNAcentral.